GGCUCCUCCUGCCAUUUAGUCCUGUUCCACAGCUGGGGCGGGUAGCUGAGGUGGGGAAGGAUCACUUCUUGUAUCCUCACUGAUUUGUUUUCUGCCCAGUAGUUACUAAACACUCUGGGCCUGACUCCUCCAGGGCCAGAAACAGAGAUGAAGACACUGAUCAGAAGCUUCUCAGGAGAAGAGCAGUGAGUGCCCUCCACAACAGGAUGAACACCAGGGCAGAGGAGGACAUAGAUGCCGGAGGGUUCCUGGGCUGCUGUGUGCCACGACCACCUGGUGUACCCAACACUGGAGCCAACGGCCCCUAGGGGGACAGACAACUGUGACCACUUUCUGCUGGUCUGGGGACCCAUGAGACUCUUGGCAUGCUAUCAGCCUUGAAAACCUACACGUCUUUGCCAGAGAGGCUGUUGGGCCUUCUGAACAUUUGCAGGGCUGCUUUAUUUCCUUGGUUCACAUUUACUAUCAGUAGCCAUCCUUAAAACACAAGGGUGUGUGUGCAUUUUUGAGACUGGGAGCAAAACUGGGACACUUGUCCUUGAGAGAGAAAAGGCAUUGUGUCAGUGAGAGGCACUCCAGGAUACGUCCUGAUAUAAGAAGGAGCCACGGGGAUGGAGAAGCUGGUCCCUGGGGAGUAUACCUGGAAGGAAGUCUUCUAUAAACCUUGACACCCUCUGGUCAUUUUCCUGUCCUAAUCCUAAGUAUUAAGCCUCUUGGCAGGAGGCCUGUUAGAUGCUGAGCAGGACAAGGGCUCCUUUAUUUUUAAAGGAAAACACUCUGCUCUUCAGAAGCUAACAGUCUAUUUGGGUAAACAUUCUAUGCACCCACAUAGCAAUUGAAGACAACCAAGAAUGAGCUCCCCAAAUACACUAAUAUUGGUAAAUGUUUAUCAUUUGUAUUGCUUCUUUCAUCUCAAGGCUCAUUUUACAUAAAUAAAACACAUUUCUAAAUCCCGA
RNAcentral lists this long non-coding RNA (956 nucleotides) under Mustela putorius furo (domestic ferret). RNAcentral describes it as "lncRNA (ENSMPUG00000029441.1)". Lineage: Eukaryota; Metazoa; Chordata; Mammalia; Carnivora; Mustelidae. The record is from RNAcentral.